AUAUCUGCAAAUGCUGGUUCCAUGUCACAUGGCUUAUUCGAGACUAGAUCCACAAAAAACUCUGCAGAUUUUGUUACCAUCAACUUGCAUUAUACAACUGACAGACUGAAACGGUUGGACACAAAAAUCUACAUUUGUGUUCCACUGGAGAAACAAAGUCACCUACAUCUUGGAUGGCCUGGGGACUACCUGACCUGUUCCUGUUAAGAGCUAGUCACUCUUUGUGGAAUGUUCCUGGCCCAUUUUUUCUCCAAGUUUUUACAAAAGUUUUUUCAAUGACCUCAAAAUUGAUGUGUAAAAAUAAUAAUAAACUUGAAUUUGUUUAAA
Molecule: non-coding RNA, 327 nt
Organism: Misgurnus anguillicaudatus (oriental weatherfish)
Lineage: Eukaryota; Metazoa; Chordata; Actinopteri; Cypriniformes; Cobitidae
Source: RefSeq, a predicted model, not a curated record